UCUUGGUCAUUUAGAGGAAGUAAAAGUCGUAACAAGGUUUCCGUAGGUGAACCUGCGGAAGGAUCAUUAGUGAAUUUGUAGCCUCCAAGGCUCACAUUCUCUAUCCUUUACACACCUGUGCACCCUUCUGAAGCGGAGAGUUAUUAGGCAUUGGCCGAGCGCCUCCCUUCGGUUAUUAUAUCAAACUCAAACUACGUUUACUAGAAUGUAUACCGUCUUGUUGUAACGACAAGUACAAUCCAAUAAAACUUUCAGCAACGGAUCUCUUGGCUCAGGCAUCGAUGAAGAACGCAGCGAAAUGCGAUAAGUAAUGUGAAUUGCAGAAUCCAGUGAAUCAUCGAAUCUUUGAACGCAACUUGCGCCCUCUGGUAUUCCGGAGGGCAUGCCUGUUUGAGUGUCGUGAACACCUCAACCCUCUAAUGUUUUUGCAUUGAAGGCGUUGGUAGUGAGCGCUGCCGGUCUUUGGGUCGGCUCGCUUUAAAAUAAUUAGCUGGAUCCAUUCUGACCUGGUUCUACUCGGCGUAAUAAGUUAUCAUCGUCGAGGACGCCUAGCCUUCUAGGCAGGCGGCCACAGUAAGGGUGUUUGAACCGCUUCCAACACGUCUUGCUCUUGUGGCAAACACUUGAACCUCUGACCUCAAAUCAGGCAGGACUACCCGCUGAACUUAAGCAUAUCAAUAAGCGGAGGA
Molecule: ribosomal RNA, 689 nt
Filed under: uncultured fungus
Lineage: Eukaryota; Fungi
Description: eukaryotic LSU rRNA
Rfam family: 5.8S ribosomal RNA (bases 247-400)
Source: RNAcentral